GCACAUAAGAAUCACAAUCAAACAUCAUUAAAACAUGCUCUGUUUUUACACUGGUUCAACUUUAAAAUUUAAUCUGUUCUGACUCUGACAUCUCCUGGACUCGAGACUCAUACCAAAAGAAAGCUCUUCGAGUCUAGUUUCAUAUAAAAAAAAGUAGAGUCGAAAGCUCCAAGUGGUUUGAGAGAUAUGACGUUUUUACCACGAUCUACCAUUUCUGGCAGUUUUGUGCAACCGAAGGUUACAAUUUUUUGAAAAAUAGUAAACGUUGUCAAACUGG
RNAcentral lists this long non-coding RNA (277 nucleotides) under Salvia miltiorrhiza (redroot sage). RNAcentral's name for it is "long non-coding RNA (SMIL_LNC009345)". Lineage: Eukaryota; Viridiplantae; Streptophyta; Magnoliopsida; Lamiales; Lamiaceae. The record is from RNAcentral.